This 1012-nucleotide ribosomal RNA is filed under the name Acremonium sp. RNAcentral's name for it is "SSU rRNA". It matches the Rfam family "Eukaryotic small subunit ribosomal RNA", at positions 80 to 1102 of the family's 1831-position model. Lineage: Eukaryota; Fungi; Ascomycota; Sordariomycetes; Hypocreales; Bionectriaceae. The record is from RNAcentral.
GGCGAAACUGCGAAUGGCUCAUUAUAUAAGUUACAGUUUACUUGAUAACACCUUACUACUUGGAUAACCGUGGUAAUUCUAGAGCUAAUACAUGCUGAAAACCCCGACUUCGGAAGGGGUGUAUUUAUUAGAUACAAAGCCAAUGCCCUUCGGGGCUCAAUGGUGAUUCAUGAUAACUUUUCGAAUCGCACGGCCUUGCGCCGGCGAUGGUUCAUUCAAGUUUCUUCCCUAUCAACUUUCGAUGUUUGGAUAUGGGCCAAACAUGGUGGCAACGGGUAACGGAGGGUUAGGGCUCGACCCCGGAGAAGGAGCCUGAGAAACGGCUACUACAUCCAAGGAAGGCAGCAGGCGCGCAAAUUACCCAAUCCCGACUCGGGGAGGUAGUGACAAUAAAUACUGAUACGGGGCUCUAUUGGGUCUUGUAAUUGGAAUGAGUACAAUUUAAAUCCCUUAACGAGGAACAAUUGGAGGGCAAGUCUGGUGCCAGCAGCCGCGGUAAUUCCAGCUCCAAUAGCGUAUAUUAAAGUUGUUGUGGUUAAAAAGCUCGUAGUUGAACCUUGGGCCUGGCUGGCCGGUCCGCCUCACCGCGUGCACUGGACCGGCCGGGCCUUUCCCUCUGCGGAACCCCAUGCCCUUCACUGGGUGUGGCGGGGAAGCAGGACUUUUACUGUGAAAAAAUUAGAGUGCUCCAGGCAGGCCUAUGCUCGAAUACAUUAGCAUGGAAUAAUAGAAUAGGACGCGUGGUUCUAUUUUGUUGGUUUCUAGGACCGCCGUAAUGAUUAAUAGGGACAGUCGGGGGCAUCAGUAUUCGGUAGUCAGAGGUGAAAUUCUUAGAUCUACUGAAGACUAACUACUGCGAAAGCAUUUGUCAAGGAUGUUUUCAUUAAUCAGGAACGAAAGUUAGGGGAUCGAAAACGAUCAGAUACCGUUGUAGUCUUAACCAUAAACUAUGCCGACUAGGGAUCGGACGAUGUUAUUCAUUGACGCGUUCGGCACCUUACGAGAAAUCAAA